CAAAAACAGGCAUAGGUCAGAAAGUGGCAAACAGGUAUAUUGAUGGCAAGGCAAGAAAGGCAAGAGAGGUACAAGGCAAAGAUCCAGGCAGGGGCGAACAGUAUCCAAUUGGGCGAGACUCGAGGGACUCGAGGGAUACACAGGCAGUGAUCAGAACACGGGGAAACAGACAAGGCAAGACAAGGAAAACAAGA
Long non-coding RNA from Sinocyclocheilus rhinocerous, 194 nucleotides. RefSeq lists it as uncharacterized. NCBI's taxonomy places the organism in Eukaryota, Metazoa, Chordata, Actinopteri, Cypriniformes, Cyprinidae. The record is from RefSeq and is a predicted model, not a curated record. The transcript has 2 exons.